RNAcentral lists this ribosomal RNA (250 nucleotides) under uncultured bacterium. RNAcentral describes it as "partial 16S ribosomal RNA". It matches the Rfam family "Bacterial small subunit ribosomal RNA", at positions 524 to 773 of the family's 1533-position model. The record is from RNAcentral.
GACGGAGGGUGCAAACGUUGUUCGGAAUCACUGGGCGUAAAGGGCGCGUAGGCGGACUUGUAAGUCGGGAGUGAAAACUCGGGGCUCAACCCCGAGCCUGCUUCUGAAACUGCGAGUCUUGAGGACCGGAGAGGAAAGUGGAAUUCCUAGUGUAGCGGUGGAAUGCGUAGAUAUUAGGAAGAACACCAGUGGCGAAGGCGACUUUCUGGACGGUUCCUGACGCUGAGGCGCGAAAGCUAGGGGAGCAAAC